AGAAGCUCCCAAUAGACUUGGGCCAAACAAUAUCACUGGACAGAGAGAGGUUGAUUGAUUCAAUCGGGAAGUAGCAGUAGCGGUGGAAGGGGCAUGCAGAGGAGAGGUCAAGAUGGAGAGAAAGAAAGCGAUAUUUUUCAUCUCAGUGCUUCUUCUGGAGGCAAAUUCCUGUGCUUGCCUCCUCCACCCCUGCUGCUACCACUCCCCCAUCACCGCGAAGGCACGAAAGCGAAGUUGUCUGCUUUCCUACUCUCUUCAAGAAGGCCUCAAUCUGCCAUACCCUGGUAUUACAUUUGAUCUACUGCACUGGAUUAUAAGCAACCUACACAAAUGGAUGAUAAGAAGGGUCUCGCUAUCGUGUUCUUUUAUAUUAUUAUAUAAAAAGAAGAAGAGAUAUCUUGCCCGCCCAAUAUGAGGGGGAAAGCUAGCUCGGCCCUAGCAAAUGCUUCUUCCUUGAUUCGUCUAGCAUAGUUGGCGGGCAUAAAGUGUUUGGUGAAAUCUUUCUUAGAAAGGAACAUGGGAGAUUUACUUGGUGCUUCAUACGGGUACCAUUUGGAUGAUAUACAAAAAAAGUGCCGUGAUUCGAGAAAUUAUCAGAAGGCAGAAGGUUCCGUUGGAGGGCAAUAUGGUGCUGAUCCCCAAAUUACUACAAAGUCGAGGCUCAACAAAUCUGGAAAGCUUGCAGUAUUUUUACAGCAUGAGCUGAAGCCUAAGUCAAUUCUAACCAUCUCUGCUAAGGUUGACAUCAAGGUCUUGGACAGGACUUCCAAGUUUGGUUUGGUACUUGCUCUCAAGCCAUGAUCUGUCUGUAGGCAGUGUGUGAAAUUUGAAUUUUUCGAUUGGAUCCAGAAGUUACGGGCGGUAGAAGUUAUACCACAGAUAUUCUUUUGUUGAAAUUUUGAAUCACCGGGAAUGAUUUGGUUGAUGCCGAUACAUAUUAAGGCUAUUUAGUAUUUUUCUUUUAUUCUUGGAUGUAAUUUAACUUGUGGUAGAUUUGUAAUGUCAUUUUUCUGUUGAGGUAUUGCUGUCAUUAGAUUGUGAAAAAUUAUCACAAUAGUUUCUAUUUUGCAGAAUUUAUAUUUGAGAAUGAUAUGGUUUUAACUGCA
This is a long non-coding RNA of Elaeis guineensis (African oil palm), 1106 nucleotides long. RefSeq lists it as uncharacterized. NCBI's taxonomy places the organism in Eukaryota, Viridiplantae, Streptophyta, Magnoliopsida, Arecales, Arecaceae. The record is from RefSeq and is a predicted model, not a curated record.